This 292-nucleotide ribosomal RNA is filed under the name uncultured bacterium. Its description in RNAcentral is "partial 16S ribosomal RNA". It matches the Rfam family "Bacterial small subunit ribosomal RNA", at positions 505 to 796 of the family's 1533-position model. The record is from RNAcentral.
GUGUCAGCAGCCGCGGUAAUACGUAGGGUGCAGGCGUUAAUCGGAAUUACUGGGCGUAAAGCGUGCGCAGGCGGUUUGCUAAGACAGGUGUGAAAUCCCCGGGCUUAACCUGGGAACUGCGCUUGUAACUGGCAAGCUGGAGUGUGGCAGAGGGGGGUGGAAUUCCACGUGUAGCAGUGAAAUGCGUAGAGAUGUGGAGGAACACCGAUGGCGAAGGCAGCCCCCUGGGCUAACACUGACGCUCAUGCACGAAAGCGUGGGGAGCAAACAGGAUUAGAAACCCCAGUAGUCC